GGAGGCCCCAGCUCCCUAGGGGCUGAGAAGCUGGAGUCCUGGGGAAGGGGAGGAGCUGAGCCCUACUCUUGCGAGACCCCCGCCCUCCUCCCCCCACGCGGGAAGCAUGAACAGAAAAGACAGUAAGAGGAAGUCCCACCAGGAAUGCACCGGAAAAACAGGAGGGCGAGGCCGGCCCCGCCAAGUGCGCCGCCACAAGACAUGCCCCAGCCCCCGGGAAAUCAGCAAGGUCAUGGCUUCCAUGAACCUGGGCCUGCUGAGUGAGGGCGGCUGCAGCGAAGAUGAGCUGCUGGAGAAAUGCAUCCAGUCCUUCGAUUCAGCUGGCAGCCUGUGCCACGGGGACCACAUGCUCAACAUGGUGCUGGCCAUGCACAGCUGGGUGCUGCCGUCCGCCGACCUGGCUGCCCGCCUGCUGACCUCAUACCAGAAGGCCACAGGGGACACCCAGGAGCUGAGACGGCUGCAGAUCUGUCACCUGGUCAGGUACUGGCUGAUGCGACACCCUGAGGUGAUGCACCAGGAUCCCCAGCUAGAAGAAGUCAUAGGUCGUUUCUGGGCCACCGUGGCCCGGGAGGGCAACUCAGCCCAGAGAAGACUGGGAGACUCUUCUGACCUGUGAGUCAGCCCUGUGCUCCCCUCUUCCCUGCCCCAUCGCCAUUCUGCCAUCUCCCUCUACAUCCCCAAGCCCUCAACUGUGAGCCACUCCAAUACCCUGCCCCUCUUGGCCCCCAGCCUGAGCCCUGGUGGCCCUGGCCCCCCACUCCCAAUAAGCAGCCCAGGCCUGGGCAAAAAGCGCAAAGUGUCCUUGCUUUUCGACCACCUGGAGACGGGGGAGCUGGCUCAGCACCUCACCUACCUGGAGUUCCGGUCCUUCCAGGCUAUCACGCCCCAGGACCUGCGGAGCUACGUUUUGCAGGGCUCAGUACGAGGCUGCCCGGCCCUGGAGGGCUCCGUAGGUCUCAGCAACAGCGUGUCCCGCUGGGUGCAGGUGAUGGUGCUGAGCCGUCCCGGGCCCCUACAGCGCGCACAGGUGCUGGACAAGUUCAUUCACGUGGCACAGAGGCUCCACCAGCUGCAGAAUUUCAACACGCUGAUGGCAGUCACAGGGGGCCUGUGUCACAGUGCCAUCUCCAGACUCAAGGACUCCCAUGCCCACCUGAGCCCUGACAGCACCAAGGCCCUCCUGGAACUCACUGAGCUCCUUGCCUCCCACAACAACUACGCCCGCUACCGCCGCACCUGGGCUGGCUGCGCGGGCUUCCGGCUGCCUGUACUGGGCGUGCACCUCAAGGACCUGGUGUCCCUGCAUGAGGCACAGCCCGACAGGUUGCCUGACGGCCGCCUGCACCUACCCAAGCUGAACAACCUCUACCUGCGGCUGCAGGAGCUGGUGGCCCUCCAAGGGCAGCAUCCACCCUGCAGCGCCAAUGAGGAUCUGCUGCACCUCCUCACGCUCUCCCUGGACCUCUUCUACACGGAAGACGAGAUCUAUGAGCUUUCUUAUGCCCGGGAGCCGCGUUGUCCCAAGAGUCUGCCACCCUCCCCCUUCAAUGCACCUCUGGUGGUGGAGUGGGCCCCUGGUGUGACACCCAAGCCGGACAGGGUCACACUGGGUCGGCAUGUGGAGCAGCUGGUGGAGGUAAGGAGGGGAGGGUGGCCCGGCCACCAGCAGCCAGGAGGGAAGACAUCUGUAGAACCCUGAGCCUGGAGGCGGGGACUUAUGGCCAUGGGGAUCAUAUUUCAACAACUGGGCCUUAUCUGCUUCCCCACACUCCUCUGAAGUCUGUGUUCAAGAAUUAUGACCCUGAAGGCCGAGGAACAAUCUCUCAGGAGGACUUUGAGCGACUCUCGGGCAAUUUUCCCUUUGCUUGCCAUGGGCUUCACCCACCCCCACGCCAGGGGAGAGGAUCCUUCAGCAGAGAGGAGCUGACAGGGUACCUGCUCCGGGCCAGCGCCAUCUGCUCCAAGUUGGGCCUGGCCUUCCUGCACACCUUCCAUGAGGUUACCUUCCGAAAGCCUACCUUCUGCGACAGCUGCAGUGGCUUCGUGAGCACCCCACCCUAUCACCACCCUUAGGUUCCAUCUGUCCUGAAGCCGGCAGUCCGCAAACCCCAGAUAACCCCCAAAUUCCAGAAAUCCUCCAGCUUCAAAUCAUCCUGUUUCAUAUAAACCCUAAACACCAGACAUUCCCUAUAUCCUGGAUAAUCUCCAAAUGCCAGAUAAUCCCCAAAUCCCAGAUAAUGUCCACCCCAGACAAUCGCUGAACCAUGGAUAAUAUCUAAAACUCUAGAUAGGAGGCCAGG
This 2303-nucleotide small RNA is filed under the name Pan troglodytes (chimpanzee). RNAcentral describes it as "retained intron". The record is from RNAcentral. Lineage: Eukaryota; Metazoa; Chordata; Mammalia; Primates; Hominidae.